UUUAGUGGCGGACGGGUGAGUAACGCGUGAGAAUCUAGCUUCAGGUCGGGGAUAACUACUGGAAACGGUGGCUAAUACCGGAUGUGCCGAAAGGUGAAAGGCUUGCUGCCUGAAGAUGAGCUCGCGUCUGAUUAGCUAGUUGGUGUGGUAAGAGCGCACCAAGGCGACGAUCAGUAGCUGGUCUGAGAGGAUGAUCAGCCACACUGGGACUGAGACACGGCCCAGACUCCUACGGGGAGGCAGCAGUGGGGAAUUUUCCGCAAUGGGCGAAAGCCUGACGGAGCAAUACCGCGUGAGGGAGGAAGGCUCUUGGGUUGUAAACCUCUUUUCUCAAGGAAGAAAAAAUGACGGUACUUGAGGAAUAAGCAUCGGCUAACUCCGUGCCAGCAGCCGCGGUAAUACGGAGGAUGCAAGCGUUAUCCGGAAUGAUUGGGCGUAAAGCGUCCGCAGGUGGCGAUGUAAGUCUGCUGUUAAAGAGUCUAGCUUAACUAGAUAAAAGCAGUGGAAACUACAUAGCUAGAGUGCGUUCGGGGUAGAGGGAAUUCCUGGUGUAGCGGUGAAAUGCGUAGAGAUCAGGAAGAACACCGGUGGCGAAGGCGCUCUACUAGGCCGCAACUGACACUGAGGGACGAAAGCUAGGGGAGCGAAUGGGAUUAGAUACCCCAGUAGUCCUAGCCGUAAACGAUGGAUACUAGGCGUUGCGA
This 704-nucleotide ribosomal RNA is filed under the name Nostoc piscinale Su 10. Its description in RNAcentral is "bacterial SSU rRNA". It matches the Rfam family "Bacterial small subunit ribosomal RNA", at positions 91 to 828 of the family's 1533-position model. The record is from RNAcentral. Lineage: Bacteria; Bacillati; Cyanobacteriota; Cyanophyceae; Nostocales; Nostocaceae.